GAUGGAGAGAGAUAAGAAUGAAAAAAAAAAAAUGGGUGGCGGGUCCUAGGUGAAUAAUGGAUUUGAUUUUGGUUUUGUCACAUUAUAUACAUUACAUAUAUAUAUAGUAUUUUGUAUCAAAUGGAAAUGAAAGCAAAUGGGCUGCCAGCCGAAUUCAGAGAAAGAAAGUAAAUUGAAAUGAUUUUUGGGUGGGGCCCACGCAAUAGAUUUUUGGCCAAAAGUCUUGGCUUCAGGCAAUUCACGUGGGCAGUUUUUGGUGAUAUAUAUAAAGUAAUGUAAUGAAGAGUAAGUUAUCAUAAGGAAGAAGGCUUGGGUGCGGGACCCCUAGUUGAUAUUUUGGCUAAAGUAAAAUGAUAUUUUCUGUCUCCUUUUUUAGGUGUGAUGGUGAGCAGUUGGGUGUGUUGGUAGAAAUUCCUAUAUAUCUUACUAAUUUGGUGAUGAUACAGAGAAUAAGAAAAUAGAGGAAUUAGAUAAUAGAGAGAGAUAAAGGCAAGACACACAGAGAGAGAAAAGAGAGAGUUUGUAGAGGCUGUGAGCUUUGAGGCUUUAUGAUCAGAUAAUCUAUGAUUUGUUUUACAGAGUACCGAGGAUGCUUGAGAAUUUUUAGCUGCGGGCUUAGGUGAAAGAGUUGGUGUUGAGGAAUUAAUUUAUUUUAUUUAGAGAUUUUUAUGUAUUUAUUUGAGGAUAUUGAUUUAGUAUCAAUUUAAUUAAUUUGAGAUGUUAUCUUAUUUAUUUGAGAAAAUUUGAUUGAUUUUGUAUCAAUAAAGGGUAUUUUAUUUCUUUUGAGAUCCUGGGUGUCUUUUACGAAGUAUUUUGAUUUAAUGAAAUCGAGGAUUUUAUUUAGAAAAAAAUUCGGGGCGUUACAGAAUGGUAUCAGAGCCUGUACCCAGCCGGAAGUGUGAAUUUGGUGAUGUUGUUGACGGGUGUGAGUGGGCGAGUGUUUAGUUCUGAAUAGCUACCUCUCGUAGCCUGGUGUGUGUGGGCAGGUGUCGUUCACUGACAGCUACUGGGGUGGUCAAUAAUUGUGAUUUGGCAUGUUGUAUUGCCUGGCUUUAUUAUUGACCUUGUUUUUGUGAGCGGGUGACGGCAUUGAUUAGCUAUCACAACGGUUACGGAGUGUGUAGGUGGGUAAUUAGCAUUGUCAGGUACCAUAACAUUUUUCAUGUCAUGGUAUCUCGCAUUGCCUGGGGUAAGGAUUUUUGAAUUUUAUUUUACCACUUUUGAUGUUUUCAGGUAUGUGAAAAUUGUUGGAUCUGAAUUUCAGGAUGAAAUUCUUUUUAAGUGGUGGAGAAUGUAACAACCCAAAUUUUUAAGAGUUUUUAUUUCAUUCUUAUUUUUGUGUCAUUGGAGACUUGUCAAUUGAAGAUUGAAUUUUUAUUUUUUUUAUUGGAGACUUGCAGUUGAUUGGAUUUGAUUAUUUUGUAUGCAUAUAUUUUGAUUAUAUAUAUAGCAUCUGUUGAAGAGAGAGACUAGGUGCGAAAUUAGAAAGGAAAAUGAAAUGGAAAUAGAAGAGAAAUGGGUUUUGAUUAUUUAAAGUUUGUUGCAUAUAUAUAUAUAUAUAUAUAUAUAUAUAUAUAUAUUGGUGCAAAACCAAGCUACUAGCCGAUUUUAGAGAGAGGAAAAUGGAAAUCAUAAGGUGAUUUUGGCGGGUCCCACUUACAUGUUAUGUAAUGAGUUUAAUUUGGGUUUUUUGUUGCAUUAAAUAUAUAUAUAGAUAUAGAAUGCAAUCUGAUGGAGAGAGAUAAGAAUGAAAAAAAAAUAAAAAAUUUGGUAGGUGGCGGGUCCUAGGUGAAUAAUGGAUUUGAUUUUGGUUUUGUCACAUUGUAUAAAUUAUAUAUAUGUAGUAUUUUGUAUCAAAUGGAAAUGAAAGCAAAUGGGCUGCCAGCUGAAUUCAGAGAAAGAAAGGAAAUUGAAAUGAUUUUUGGGUGGGGCCCACGCAAUAGAUUUUUGGCCAAAAGUCUUGGUUUCAGGCAAUUCACGUGGGCAGUUUUUGGUCAUAUAUAUAAAGCAAUGUAAUGAAGAGCAAGUUAUUAUAAGGAGGAAGGCUUGGGUGUGGGACCCCUAGUUGAUAUUUUGGCUAAAGUAAAAUGAUAUUUUCUGUCUCCUUUUUUAGGUGUGAUGGUGAGCAGUUGGGUAUGUCGAUAGAAAUUCUAUAUAUGUUACUAGUUUGGUGAUGAUACAGAGAAUAAGAAAAUAGAGGAAUUAGAGAAUAGAGAGAGAUAAAGGCAAGACACACGGAGAGAGAAAGCCGAGAGUUUGUAGAGGCUAUGAGCUUUGAGGCUUUAUGAUAAGAUAAUCUAUGAUUUGUUUUACAGAGUAGGGAUCAUCGUACCUUAAAUGGCUUGGAUGAUUUGUUUUAAAUAUUUUAUUAAUUAUUUUUUUGCUAAAAUUGCAUAUACAUAUUUUUGUUUAAAUGUAUAUGUAUAUGUAUAUUUUGUGAAAUUAAUUUUGCAUGAAACUUCUUGAAAUUCUUAUUGUAGUUUUUCCUACUGUCUCACCCCCUAUAGUUUCAGGUACCGAGGAUACUUGAGGAUUUUUAACUACGGACUUAGGUGGAAGAAUUGGUGUUGAGGAAUUAAUUUAUUUUAUUUAAAUAUUUUUAUGUAUUUAUUUGAGCAAAUUGAUUUAGUAUCAAUUUAAUUAAUUUGAGAUGUUGUCUUAUUUAUUUGAGAAAAUUUGAUUGAUUUUGUAUCAAUAAAGGGUAUUUUAUUUCUUUUGA
Long non-coding RNA from Cornus florida, 2719 nucleotides. RefSeq lists it as uncharacterized. NCBI's taxonomy places the organism in Eukaryota, Viridiplantae, Streptophyta, Magnoliopsida, Cornales, Cornaceae. The record is from RefSeq and is a predicted model, not a curated record. The transcript is spliced from 2 exons.